GCCUCCGUAGCUCAGGGGAUAGAGCGUCGGUUUCCGGUACCGCAGGUCGGGGGUUCGAAUCCCUCCGGGGGCACAA
RNAcentral lists this transfer RNA (76 nucleotides) under Mycetocola tolaasinivorans. RNAcentral's name for it is "tRNA-Arg". It matches the Rfam family "tRNA". From Rfam's summary of the family: Transfer RNA (tRNA) molecules are approximately 80 nucleotides in length. Their secondary structure includes four short double-helical elements and three loops (D, anti-codon, and T loops). Lineage: Bacteria; Bacillati; Actinomycetota; Actinomycetes; Micrococcales; Microbacteriaceae. The record is from RNAcentral. RNAcentral also lists the same sequence under 1 other name.